RNAcentral lists this transfer RNA (67 nucleotides) under Nesophrosyne makaihe. RNAcentral describes it as "tRNA-Val". Lineage: Eukaryota; Metazoa; Arthropoda; Insecta; Hemiptera; Cicadellidae. The record is from RNAcentral.
CAAACUGUAGCUUAUUUAUUAAAGCUUUUUAUUUACAUCAACAAGAAAACAUUUUUGUUUAGUUUGA